This 497-nucleotide ribosomal RNA is filed under the name uncultured bacterium. Its description in RNAcentral is "partial 16S ribosomal RNA". It matches the Rfam family "Bacterial small subunit ribosomal RNA", at positions 28 to 507 of the family's 1533-position model. The record is from RNAcentral.
GAUGAACGCUGGCGGCGUGCCUAAUACAUGCAAGUCGAGCGAACGGACGAGAAGCUUGCUUCUCUGAUGUUAGCGGCGGACGGGUGAGUAACACGUGGAUAACCUACCUAUAAGACUGGGAUAACUUCGGGAAACCGGAGCUAAUACCGGAUAAUAUUUUGAACCGCAUGGUUCAAAAGUGAAAGACGGUCUUGCUGUCACUUAUAGAUGGAUCCGCGCUGCAUUAGCUAGUUGGUAAGGUAACGGCUUACCAAGGCAACGAUGCAUAGCCGACCUGAGAGGGUGAUCGGCCACACUGGAACUGAGACACGGUCCAGACUCCUACGGGAGGCAGCAGUAGGGAAUCUUCCGCAAUGGGCGAAAGCCUGACGGAGCACCGCCGCGUGAGUGAUAAAGGUCUUCGGAUCGUAAAACUCUGUUAUUAGGGAAGAACAUAUGUGUAAGUAACUGUGCACAUCUUGACGGUACCUAAUCAGAAAGCCACGGCUAACUACGUG